UCUUGGUCAUUUAGAGGAAGUAAAAGUCGUAACAAGGUUUCCGUAGGUGAACCUGCGGAAGGAUCAUUAUUGAUUGGUCGAAAGACCUUAUCAGAUUCUACCACCUCUGUGAACCGUUGACCUCCGGGUUAAUAAUCAAACAUCAGUGUAACGAACGUAAGAGUAUCUUAACGAAACAAAACUUUCAACAACGGAUCUCUUGGCUCUCGCAUCGAUGAAGAACGCAGCGAAAUGCGAUAAGUAAUGUGAAUUGCAGAAUUCAGUGAAUCAUCGAAUCUUUGAACGCACCUUGCGCCUUUUGGUAUUCCGAAAGGCAUGCCUGUUUCAGNGUCAUGAAAUCUCAAUCUAAUAUGUUUUCUGAACAUGUUAGGCUUGGACUUGGGCGUCUGCCAGUGAUGGCUCGCCUCAAAUGACUUAGUGGAACAUCCCACAUCAGUGUUAGACGUAAUAAGUUUCGUCUCUCCUUGUGGUGAUGACUGCUCAGAACCUGCCAUCGCGCAUCUUUUGACUUUGACCUGAAAUCAGGUAGGGCUACCCGCUGAACUUAAGCAUAUCAAUAAGCGGAGGAAUAGGAAUACCCGCUGAACUUAAGCAUAUCAAUAAGCGGAGGAA
This 612-nucleotide ribosomal RNA is filed under the name Cryptococcus sp. 3 TMS-2011. Its description in RNAcentral is "eukaryotic LSU rRNA". The stretch from base 180 to 333 matches the Rfam family "5.8S ribosomal RNA". Lineage: Eukaryota; Fungi; Basidiomycota; Tremellomycetes; Tremellales; Cryptococcaceae. The record is from RNAcentral.